RNAcentral lists this ribosomal RNA (430 nucleotides) under uncultured bacterium. RNAcentral's name for it is "bacterial SSU rRNA". It matches the Rfam family "Bacterial small subunit ribosomal RNA", at positions 355 to 776 of the family's 1533-position model. The record is from RNAcentral.
GCUAGAAAUUUGGGCAAUGGGGGAAACCCUGACCCAGUGACGCCGCGUGCAGGAAGGAGCCCUUCGGGGUGUAAACUGCUGUCGUGUAGGGAGAAGGGUACUAAGGUGAACAAUCUUAGUACUUGACGGUACUACAGGAGGAAGCCCAGGCUAACCUCGUGCCAGCAGCCGCGGUAAUACGGGGUGGGCGAGCGUUGCCCGGAAUUACUGGGUUUAAAGGGGGUGUAGGCGGUCUGGAUAGUCGGGUGUGUAAUGCAAUCGCUCAACGAUUGAGCUGCAUCUGAUACUUCCAGGCUAGAGGGCGGUAGAGGAGAGCGGAACUCCCGGUGUAGCGGUGAAAUGCGUAGAUAUCGGGAGGAACGCCGGUGGCGAAGGCGGCUCUCUGGGCCGUUCCUGACGCUGAGGCCCGAAAGCUGGGGGAGCGAAAGGG